AUGAAAAUCGUGAGAUGGAACUGCCGGGGGCUUGGAAACGGCCCGACAGUUCCUUCUUUUCUCGAAUUGGGAAGAGUGGAGGAGCCCGACAUUUUGUUCUUAUGUGAAACUAGAUUGGAGGAGAAGGAUCUGGACCGGUUCAGAUGGAUUCUUGGACUCGUUCAUAUGUGCUCAUGGAAGGGGGAGGGAAGGAGUCGAGGAGUAGCAAUGUUUUGGAGAAGGGAGGUGGAUGUGACCUUGCGAUCAUUUGGGAGGAGGCAUAUUGAUGUCGAUGUGAAAUGGGAGGAUGGCUUGGUGUGGAGGCUCACGGGUAUGUACGGGGAAUCGGCUAUGGAUAGGAAGAAGGAGACAUGGAGAACACUUAGUAUUCGAAAACAACAACACUAG
Molecule: ribosomal RNA, 387 nt
Filed under: Triticum aestivum (bread wheat)
Lineage: Eukaryota; Viridiplantae; Streptophyta; Magnoliopsida; Poales; Poaceae
Description: partial small subunit ribosomal RNA
Source: RNAcentral